AUUGAACGCUGGCGGCAUGCCUUACACAUGCAAGUCGAACGGCAGCGCGGACUUCGGUCUGGCGGCGAGUGGCGAACGGGUGAGUAAUACAUCGGAACGUACCCUGUUGUGGGGGAUAACUAGUCGAAAGAUUAGCUAAUACCGCAUACGACCUGAGGGUGAAAGUGGGGGACCGGAAACGGCCUCAUGCAGCAGGAGCGGCCGAUGUCUGAUUAGCUAGUUGGUGGGGUAAAGGCCCACCAAGGCGACGAUCAGUAGCUGGUCUGAGAGGACGAUCAGCCACACUGGGACUGAGACACGGCCCAGACUCCUACGGGAGGCAGCAGUGGGGAAUUUUGGACAAUGGGGGCAACCCUGAUCCAGCAAUGCCGCGUGUGUGAAGAAGGCCUUCGGGUUGUAAAGCACUUUUGUCCGGAAAGAAAUCGCGCUGGUUAAAACCUGGCGUGGAUGACGGUACCGGAAGAAUAAGCACCGGCUAACUACGUG
RNAcentral lists this ribosomal RNA (486 nucleotides) under uncultured bacterium. RNAcentral describes it as "partial 16S ribosomal RNA". It matches the Rfam family "Bacterial small subunit ribosomal RNA", at positions 30 to 507 of the family's 1533-position model. The record is from RNAcentral.